This is a non-coding RNA of Cinara cedri, 439 nucleotides long. The record is from the annotation of a GenBank genome assembly. Lineage: Eukaryota; Metazoa; Arthropoda; Insecta; Hemiptera; Aphididae.
CAAGCACAUUUGGUCAAGAUGGAGCCACUUAAAGUGUACUUAAACGUAACGGGAAAUAGAUACGUAAUAUUCGAUUAACGAAGAUUCGACAUGCCGACAAUUUUUUGGUAUUCAAAAAAAAUUGAUAAAAAGAUUACCUUGAAGUGAUAAUAUUUGCACGUACAGCUGUACCGACGCAUCCGUGACGGUUAUUGACCGCCGGUGAUUUCGUCGAUCGAAAAUUGUCCUGUGAAAAUUUACCGGAAGGUGGUGAGAGCAGGGGGUUAAAUACCGCGAGGCGGUCGAAUUUCGCGUUUAAACAGCGGCGGGAAAACGAAUUUCCAAGACGUAUAAUUAUAAUAUAAUUAUAUUAUUAUUACAUGCGUAACAACGAUCGUCGAGGACCUUUCGAAUUUAUUAAUUAACUUAUGGGCGUGGGGAAAACGCGAAAAAACCGUGG